ACAGGUCUGUCGGGAGUCCGGUGCGUAACGCGUAAUGGGACGGUUUUUAUCCUUGCUGACAUUUUGGCCACCGACCAAUGUAUGUCAGGUUGAUACCGCUUCACGCUGUCUACGAUUUUAAGGCCUAGUAACAGAAGUGCUCAUUUUUGUCACGUCCCUGGCAGCCUGCAUCAUGGAUCGCCAUGACCAGUCUUGUUUCCAGCCAGCAUGAAGCUGAAGCUGGUCUGCUGCUGCUGGACAGGAGGUCUCCCUCUGCUGGUGAGGACAGAAACCUGCUGCCGACAUGGAAAGAUGAGAUGAUCACUACAUAAUAGCCGUGCCGGGAAAAGAUGCUGAAGUGAGGCUGGUGCAGGGUGUCCUGCCAGAAUCCACAUGACCCGUACCACCCAUUAUGAAGAGUCCCAAACUGUGCUGUAAUUAUGAGAUCUCCUCUGUGACCUCCUCCUCACCCUCUGCCUGACUCACUGAGGGGGAACAAACUGGGGAAAAAAAGACAAAUGUACAAUACGGAGACUUUAAUGAUCAAGUGGCUCUCACCAGCAGUGGUUUCUUUGGCAGCAGCUCCUGAACGUCUCCCCCCGCGGCUCGGAGUCUCCUCCAAUUUCUCAGCUUCUUUAGGUUGGUCCCUCUCCACCUCCUCGGUGGUUUUGGAUGAUCGACCCCUGCGUGGUGUUCUGACUUCUGCAGCCUUCUCCUGCUCCGGUUCCUGAAGAUCCAUCUGAUCCUGAGAGUCCUCUGUCUUCACUUCUAACGCCUGGACCUCUGAUGCCAGCUCGUCUGCCUCCUCCUGUGUCCUUCCAUCAUGGUGGCUGUCUCCUUCUUCGACAAUGCUCAUGUCCUGCUCAC
This is a long non-coding RNA of Epinephelus fuscoguttatus (brown-marbled grouper), 846 nucleotides long. RefSeq lists it as uncharacterized. Lineage: Eukaryota; Metazoa; Chordata; Actinopteri; Perciformes; Serranidae. The transcript is spliced from 6 exons. The record is from RefSeq and is a predicted model, not a curated record.